Vigna umbellata (rice bean) is the source of this 1765-nucleotide long non-coding RNA. RefSeq lists it as uncharacterized. The record is from RefSeq and is a predicted model, not a curated record. NCBI's taxonomy places the organism in Eukaryota, Viridiplantae, Streptophyta, Magnoliopsida, Fabales, Fabaceae.
CUAUCAUCCGUUCCACUCCUUAUUUUUCCCUUUCAAGAUUUUUUGCUCUCUCCCGCGCCUCUAUGAUCUCUUCUCAUGUACUUUCCUUAUCUCCAGGUUCCAAAUUAUUUUCAAAUUCAUGCCUUAUUUUACAUGUUUUUGUUGUGAUUGUUUUCAUUAAGCAUAAUCAUUUUGCAAUAUUAUCUUUAUGUUAUGAGUGAGUUGAAGACGGUGCCUUCCACAUGUUUGAUGAAAUGCAACACUAGGACCACUUCUCAGUUGAAGUGAAAAUUGCUACGACCACAGUUUGUAGGUUGAUGCAUGACACCUAAGUGUUGGUAUCCUUCGUACUUCGCCCGUGUUUGGUUUAAAAACAUAAUAUAUCAUUUUGUGGAAUUCAUGUAGAUAGAACAUAAUAUAUUUGUGGUUUCAUUUUUACUGUCUUAAGUGACUAGGAAUAAUUAGAUCUUAUUGUUCAAGCUCAAUAUUGGAGGUUAAAGGUAUUAUAAUAAAGGCCCACUGGUUUAAAGGCCCACGAGAGAUAAAAAUAUCUCGUGUUUAGAACCUGAGCCAAGAAAGGCAGUGCUGGUCCGCGAGGAGAAGGAGCACGAGGCUCACUGGCAGCAUUCAGGCAUGGCUUCUGGAAGGAGAGAGAGCAGAUCGGCGGAAAGGCUUUAUCAGAAGGCGAUUGUAGGUUUCAAGAUCUGCCUCUUACAUGAGGAUCUGUGUCUUUCAUUGAGGCUUUUCUAAUGUGUAUUUGUAAUGGAGGAGUUAAGUUUGGAGAUCAAUCCUACCGUGAUAUAUUCAAACCUGCAGUUUGGUGACCAAGAUGGAAUAGACUCUGAUGGACUUCUUCAACAUCCAUUGGGGAUUAUGUGUGGAAAUGAUGGUGAAAUUUAUAUCACAUAUAGACACAAUCACAAGGUAGACAACUCACACCCAGGUAAUUUUGAAUUGCCAUGGCUCUGCCAUGCGAUAUAUCUUAUUGAUAACACUGACUGAAUUAUAUAACUCACUAACGUAUCUCAGUUCAAAAGGCUUUUUUGCUAUGCAAAAGUACGGGGGUGGAUUCUAUAUAGCCUUACCCUUGCAUGUCAGAAACGCUAUUUCUGGAUUUGGAUCCACGACCAGCUGAGUUAUAUAUAUGCACGCACGCACACACACCAAGAAAAGAACGAAUUUUUAGAAUAAGUUACAUGUUCCUUUUGUCUUUGCAUACAUUUUCCAAUUUCUGUCAUUGCUGAAAUUUCCAAUUCUUGCUGGUCAUCCGGCUGAUUUCUAUGAAAAUUUGGGUGUCGGGCAGGUUUAAACUCUUUUAAACAUUAAUUAGAUACUUAUUUUAACCUUUUAUGUCAAAUUUUUCGAGGGUAGCCAAUUCUUUUUCUACAUACCUUAUUAGGUCAUAUACGUGAUUUAAUUCUAAAUACUAUCGAAUACUCAGAUUUAUGUCAUCAAACUUAUCUUGGAGCUUUGGAAUCAAACAUGAUACACCUUACUCUGACACAAUUUAAUUAAUUGAAUGGUCAGACUUUAGUUCCAUUAUCCUCACUGACUGAAUUUCCUAUUCUCCUUCCUGUAUGUUUUAAAUUAUCAAACUAAGAAGCUAGAUCUUACUAGUAAAAGAGUUAACAACAUUGCAGGAACUGGAAAAGCUGGUUUCAAAGCUGGAACGGCUGUAAAAGCUUAGGCUGGUAAAAUGUUCUAUGCCGUUUUAGAUAACAUGAAUAAUAAUACAUCUUUAUAGACAAGUAUUUAAACAUGUGUAUAAAUUAAGUUGUAUAAAAUU